GAUGAAGAACGUAGCGAAAUGCGAUAAGUAGUGUGAAUUGCAGAAUUCAGUGAAUCAUCGAAUCUUUGAACGCACAUUGCGCCCUUUGGUAUUCCAAAGGGCAUGCCUGUUCGAGCGUCAUUUGUACCUUCAAGCUUUGCUUGGUGUUGAGCGUCUUGUCUCUAGCUUUGCUGGAGACUCGCCUUAAAGUAAUUGGCAGCCGGCCUACUGGUUUCGGAGCGCAGCACAAGUCGCACUCUCUAUCAGCAAAGGUCUAGCAUCCAUUAAGCCUUUUUUUUCAACUUUUGACCUCGGAUCAGGUAGGGAUACCCGCUGAACUUAAGCAUAUCAAUAAGCGGAGGA
RNAcentral lists this unclassified non-coding RNA (342 nucleotides) under soil metagenome. Its description in RNAcentral is "partial contains 5.8S ribosomal RNA, internal transcribed spacer 2, and large subunit ribosomal RNA". The stretch from base 1 to 120 matches the Rfam family "5.8S ribosomal RNA", at positions 35 to 154 of the family's 154-position model. The record is from RNAcentral.